RNAcentral lists this microRNA precursor (77 nucleotides) under Haemonchus placei. RNAcentral's name for it is "mir-5928 microRNA precursor family". It matches the Rfam family "mir-5928 microRNA precursor family". The record is from Rfam by way of RNAcentral. Lineage: Eukaryota; Metazoa; Nematoda; Chromadorea; Rhabditida; Trichostrongylidae.
GGAUCACAAACUUGAAGUAGAGUAGAUUGGUAGCAUCAGCUGACCAUACCCCACUAUUCUACUUCAAGUUUGUGCCC